Molecule: ribosomal RNA, 406 nt
Filed under: uncultured bacterium
Lineage: Bacteria
Description: partial 16S ribosomal RNA
Rfam family: Bacterial small subunit ribosomal RNA
Source: RNAcentral
AUUGAACGCUGGCGGCAGGCCUAACACAUGCAAGUCGAGCGAGCGGCGGACGGGUGAGUAAUGUAUGGGAAACUGCCUGAUGGAGGGGGAUAACUACUGGAAACGGUAGCUAAUACCGCAUACCAUCAGAUGUGCCCAGAUGGGAUUAGCUAGUAGGUGGGGUAAAGGCUCACCUAGGCGACGCUCCCUAGCUGGUCUGAGAGGAUGACCAGCAACACUGGAGCUGAGACACGGGCCAGACUCCUACGGGAGGCAGCAGUGGGGAAGAUUGCACAAUGGGCGCAAGCCUGAUGCAGCCAUGCCGCGUGUAUGAAGAAGGCCUUCGGGUUGUAAAGUACUUUCAGCGAGGAGGCGUUACUCGCAGAAGAAGCACCGGCUAACUCCGUGCCAGCAGCCGCGGUAAUAC